Molecule: ribosomal RNA, 101 nt
Filed under: Streptococcus suis
Lineage: Bacteria; Bacillati; Bacillota; Bacilli; Lactobacillales; Streptococcaceae
Source: RNAcentral
UUAAGUGACGAUAGCCUAGGAGAUACACCUGUACCCAUGCCGAACACAGCAGUUAAGCCCUAGAACGCCUGAAGUAGUUGGGGGUUGCCCCCUGUUAGAUA